RNAcentral lists this ribosomal RNA (497 nucleotides) under uncultured bacterium. RNAcentral's name for it is "partial 16S ribosomal RNA". It matches the Rfam family "Bacterial small subunit ribosomal RNA", at positions 28 to 507 of the family's 1533-position model. The record is from RNAcentral.
GAUGAACGCUGGCGGCGUGCCUAAUACAUGCAAGUCGAGCGAACAGACGAGGAGCUUGCUCCUCUGACGUUAGCGGCGGACGGGUGAGUAACACGUGGAUAACCUACCUAUAAGACUGGGAUAACUUCGGGAAACCGGAGCUCAUACCGGAUAAUAUAUUGAACCGCAUGGUUCAAUAGUGAAAGACGGUUUUGCUGUAACUUAUAGAUGGAUCCGCGCCGCAUUAGCUAGUUGGUAAGGUAACGGCUUACCAAGGCAACGAUGCGUAGCCGACCUGAGAGGGUGAUCGGCCACACUGGAACUGAGACACGGUCCAGACUCCUACGGGAGGCAGCAGUAGGGAAUCUUCCGCAAUGGGCGAAAGCCUGACGGAGCAACGCCGCGUGAGUGAUGAAGGUCUUCGGAUCGUAAAACUCUGUUAUUAGGGAAGAACAAAUGUGUAAGUAACUAUGCACGUCUUGACGGUACCUAAUCAGAAAGCCACGGCUAACUACGUG